UACGUAGGGUGCAAGCGUUAAUCGGAAUUACUGGGCGUAAAGCGUGCGCAGGGGGUUUUGUAAGUCUGACGUGAAAUCCCCGGGCUCAACCUGGGAAUUGCGUUGGAGACUGCAAGGCUAGAAUCUGGCAGAGGGGGGUAGAAUUCCACGUGUAGCAGUGAAAUGCGUAGAGAUGUGGAGGAACACCGAUGGCGAAGGCAGCCCCCUGGGUCAAGAUUGACGCUCAUGCACGAAAGCGUGGGGAGCAAACAGG
This 253-nucleotide ribosomal RNA is filed under the name uncultured bacterium. Its description in RNAcentral is "partial 16S ribosomal RNA". It matches the Rfam family "Bacterial small subunit ribosomal RNA", at positions 524 to 776 of the family's 1533-position model. The record is from RNAcentral.